Molecule: ribosomal RNA, 370 nt
Filed under: uncultured bacterium
Lineage: Bacteria
Description: bacterial SSU rRNA
Rfam family: Bacterial small subunit ribosomal RNA
Source: RNAcentral
GACGAACGCUGGCGGCGUGCUUAACACAUGCAAGUCACGGGGGUCCCGCAAGGGAUAACCGGCGAACGGGUGCGUAACACGUGAACAACCUGCCCCCGUGUGGGGGAUAGCCAUGCUAACGCGUGGGUAAUACCGCAUACGUUCUCUGAAGGGAGUCCUUUGGAGAGGAAAGCUCCGGCGCACGGGGAGGGUUCGCGGCCUAUCAGCUAGUUGGCGGGGUAAUGGCCCACCAAGGCGACGACGGGUAGCNGGUCUGAGAGGAUGGCCAGCCACAUUGGGACUGAGAGACGGCCCAGACUCCUACGGGAGGCAGCAGUGGGGAAUCUUGCGCAAUGGCCGAAAGGCUGACGCAGCGACGCCGCGUGGGGGA